CAGACGUCCUACGGGAGGCAGCAGUGGGGAAUAUUGCACAAUGGGGGAAACCCUGAUGCAGCGACGCCGCGUGGAGGAAGAAGGUCUUCGGAUUGUAAACUCCUGUUGUUGAGGAAGAUAAUGACGGUACUCAACAAGGAAGUGACGGCUAACUACGUGC
Molecule: ribosomal RNA, 160 nt
Filed under: uncultured bacterium
Lineage: Bacteria
Description: partial 16S ribosomal RNA
Rfam family: Bacterial small subunit ribosomal RNA
Source: RNAcentral